Long non-coding RNA from Limulus polyphemus (Atlantic horseshoe crab), 182 nucleotides. RefSeq lists it as uncharacterized. NCBI's taxonomy places the organism in Eukaryota, Metazoa, Arthropoda, Merostomata, Xiphosura, Limulidae. The record is from RefSeq and is a predicted model, not a curated record. The transcript has 3 exons.
UUUCUUCUGAUAGCUUAACGUGGAUCAAAACGACUCAGGGGUCACUAGUGAUGACAACUUCCGGUUUAGAGAGGAAGUAAAUGGUUCCCAUUCUGUUACGCCUAUCCAACUGAGUGACGUUAGCAACCAUUCCAGCUCAGGCAGUGGAUACAUGUGUGACAGUGAAAGUGAAGAAGAAAAGG